Bombina bombina (fire-bellied toad) is the source of this 2208-nucleotide long non-coding RNA. RefSeq lists it as uncharacterized. The record is from RefSeq and is a predicted model, not a curated record. The transcript is spliced from 2 exons. NCBI's taxonomy places the organism in Eukaryota, Metazoa, Chordata, Amphibia, Anura, Bombinatoridae.
AUGAAUAUCCUGACAGCUUUUCAAGACCAAUAAUCACACUAUCCUUUUAUCUUGAUUUAGAAACUAGGCAAAAGCUUUGAAAUGAGAGGAGGGUUGCUGACUUGUUAGUUUCCUCUCUGUGCCUCCUCCCCUGAAACGAUGCAAUCCUCUAUCAUACAACAGAAGCUACUUCUUGCUGCCGCGUCUCCCACCACAGACAGGCCUAGAAGACUUACAGCUGUACCCAAAUUUCACUCUCUAUACGUGCAGAGCAUCUAACUCCACAGUCCGUGCCUUGCUAACAACAAGAAAUGAUUCAGCUGUGUGUUCAUAUUACAGACGCACAAGUUACUCACACAACCAUAAACCAGGGGCAUAGCAGAGCUGUUUAUGGGACACAGCUGGGGCUUCACUAUCAGUGUAUGACUUAGGACUAUACAGAAAGUAUACUCAACGCUGGACUGUGUAAUUUAUAUUGAUCUCUAAAAAUGUGGCACUCGUCUGCUACAUGUUUUAUUAUGAUGGUGCAUUUCGAUACACGGAUGGAAAGCUAAAAGGCUGCACUGUAAACAAAGAUCAAAAAUGGAAAUCAAGAGAAGCGCACAACAGUGAUGGUUCCUUGGAGGCCUGCCAUAUGAGUGACACCCGUCACAGGAUGAUAAAUGACUCCAUUUUCUGCCUCUCUUGCCUUCUGCCACUCCAGGAGAGGGUCGUUUAUCAUAAUCUCUGUCAGUGAGGGAAAGUAGCCCUGACAGUGCAAGUCAGCAAACAUUUAGCACACAGAACCGUGCAACGCGGGGAAAUUAUUAUUGUCAGAAUAAUAAUGGUUUAGCAUAAUUUAUUACGGGUCCACCAAAUAAGCAAAGGAUAGAUGUUAUUAGACAGAUGGAUUGGUAAAGCUUGGCAGGCAUCCACUCAGGAUCAGGCAAUGCUGGAUAAGGGGAGGAGGUGGAGUGGAGGAGAGGGGGUGGAGGGGUUUACAUCUUCCAAACCAAUCACUGGCCUGGCAGUUCAAUUACAAAGAAAUAAAGGGACAUUCAUCAUUCAAUUAAGCACCUGUCAAGCUUCACAAAGGAGGAAACUUCUAACCUGGUACUCCUGGGAGAAGAUGCUCAGCAGAGUGGACGGCGAUUGACUGGAACAAAAUAAAAGAUGGACAAAGUUAAUUACUGGAGUGCAUGGGGGGAGACAAAAGGCUAGUGAGCUUCAAAAGGUAGGCCCCGCUGCCCUGUAAUCUAAGAAAACACGAAAACAAGUGUGCAAAAGUUGUUCCAGACAGACACCUCAGACAAAGGCCAUGGCUAGGGCAUAGAGAGGGGAUAAGAGCAGGAAUGCUAGACACAGGAGAGGCAGUGGAAAGGCAUGUUUUGGUGUGGAGGGAAUAGCAGAUACAACAGUCUCAUGUGUUGGCAGGAUCCCUUUCACUUUCCAGACCCACAAAGCUGUAUCAGUGGCAUGUCCUGCUGGUAAAACACAAGGAACAGGAGGGGAGGGGGAGACUGAAAAGAAAACAGACUACAUUUCCUAUUAAUAAUGGAUGGGAAUUCAGUUCCAUUAGCAGUUGGGAACAUGCCGCUUAGUUCAUUGGCAACAUAUUGAAAUUCAUUUUGUGAGCAGCGAGGGAAGCCUCUUUGGUAGCUGUCUCUUAUUAAGGGGUUAGCAUGAAGAAAAGCCUUUUUUCUGGGGGGGGGGGGGUUAACUCAAUGUCAGUAGCAGCAUAUGGGACUCUAACAUUCCCAAUGAAACUGACAGGACUUUGAAAAUAAAAACUUUCCCAGCAGGAGGUCUCCCCCCCUCUCUUGUAGUCGGUCAUUUCCAAAGCUUCAUCCACUACUCAACUCUGUGUCAAACACCUGGCAAUGAAGCUACAUGGAAAGCAGCUCUUCCAGCAGGGAUUUCCUUUCAGUCUGUAUCUCAUUUCUCUCUUUCAAACCAUUGCACAGUUAACUCCUUGCACAGUUACAGACAGUGUCCACAUUGUGAGACACAGAAGCACUCAGUAACAGCUACCAAGACCUGGGACACAGUGCAAUCUCUUAACUUCUCAUGUGGAUCGAUAAAAACGACUGUAACUGUUUUCAAUUGUCCUCUGUGGAUAUUUCUACAUUGCUGCUUCUUAAAACACAAUUCAUUACUUCUGAUAUAUAUUUCCUACUGGAUUCAACACAAACAAAUUACAAUUCCAAUAAAUCUGCUUUUACAAUACAGAAAAGCAGUAUGAAUAAUUAA